This 813-nucleotide ribosomal RNA is filed under the name Rhodococcus sp. WBQ_9Q. Its description in RNAcentral is "bacterial SSU rRNA". It matches the Rfam family "Bacterial small subunit ribosomal RNA", at positions 669 to 1478 of the family's 1533-position model. The record is from RNAcentral. Lineage: Bacteria; Bacillati; Actinomycetota; Actinomycetes; Mycobacteriales; Nocardiaceae.
CCUGGUGUAGCGGUGAAAUGCGCAGAUAUCAGGAGGAACACCGGUGGCGAAGGCGGGUCUCUGGGCAGUAACUGACGCUGAGGAGCGAAAGCGUGGGUAGCGAACAGGAUUAGAUACCCUGGUAGUCCACGCCGUAAACGGUGGGCGCUAGGUGUGGGUUUCCUUCCACGGGAUCCGUGCCGUAGCCAACGCAUUAAGCGCCCCGCCUGGGGAGUACGGCCGCAAGGCUAAAACUCAAAGGAAUUGACGGGGGCCCGCACAAGCGGCGGAGCAUGUGGAUUAAUUCGAUGCAACGCGAAGAACCUUACCUGGGUUUGACAUGUACCGGACGACUGCAGAGAUGUGGUUUCCCUUGUGGCCGGUAGACAGGUGGUGCAUGGCUGUCGUCAGCUCGUGUCGUGAGAUGUUGGGUUAAGUCCCGCAACGAGCGCAACCCUUGUCCUGUGUUGCCAGCACGUGAUGGUGGGGACUCGCAGGAGACUGCCGGGGUCAACUCGGAGGAAGGUGGGGACGACGUCAAGUCAUCAUGCCCCUUAUGUCCAGGGCUUCACACAUGCUACAAUGGUCGGUACAGAGGGCUGCGAUACCGUGAGGUGGAGCGAAUCCCUUAAAGCCGGUCUCAGUUCGGAUCGGGGUCUGCAACUCGACCCCGUGAAGUCGGAGUCGCUAGUAAUCGCAGAUCAGCAACGCUGCGGUGAAUACGUUCCCGGGCCUUGUACACACCGCCCGUCACGUCAUGAAAGUCGGUAACACCCGAAGCCGGUGGCCUAACCCCUCGUGGGAGGGAGCCGUCGUAUAUAAUUAGACAAUUGA